UGGAUAUUAGUUAAAUAUUAUAACAUUUAAAUUGCAUUUAAAAAUUUAAUUAAUUAAAUUAAUAUCUAA
This 69-nucleotide transfer RNA is filed under the name Colletes gigas. Its description in RNAcentral is "tRNA-Ala". The record is from RNAcentral. Lineage: Eukaryota; Metazoa; Arthropoda; Insecta; Hymenoptera; Colletidae.